This 426-nucleotide ribosomal RNA is filed under the name Pseudomonas brenneri. Its description in RNAcentral is "partial 16S ribosomal RNA". The record is from RNAcentral. Lineage: Bacteria; Pseudomonadati; Pseudomonadota; Gammaproteobacteria; Pseudomonadales; Pseudomonadaceae.
GUAUCUAAUCCUGUUUGCUCCCCACGCUUUCGCACCUCAGUGUCAGUAUCAGUCCAGGUGGUCGCCUUCGCCACUGGUGUUCCUUCCUAUAUCUACGCAUUUCACCGCUACACAGGAAAUUCCACCACCCUCUACCAUACUCUAGCUCGUCAGUUUUGAAUGCAGUUCCCAGGUUGAGCCCGGGGAUUUCACAUCCAACUUAACGAACCACCUACGCGCGCUUUACGCCCAGUAAUUCCGAUUAACGCUUGCACCCUCUGUAUUACCGCGGCUGCUGGCACAGAGUUAGCCGGUGCUUAUUCUGUCGGUAACGUCAAAACAGCAAAGUAUUAAUUUACUGCCCUUCCUCCCAACUUAAAGUGCUUUACAAUCCGAAGACCUUCUUCACACACGCGGCAUGGCUGGAUCAGGCUUUCGCCCAUUGUU